CCACUUCCCAGGGGGAACCACCUCCUUGUGGGGGCCAGGAAACAGGUCCACUGGGGUACCACUUCCUCCAGGGCCAGGAAACAGGCCCACUGGGGAACCACUUCCUCAGAGGAACCACUUCCUUCAGGGCCCAUAAACAGCUGGGGAACCACUUCCCAGGGGGAACCACCUCCUUGGGGGCCAGGAAACAGGCCCACUGGGGAACCACUUCCUCAGGGGAACCACUUCCUUCGGGGCCCAUAAACAGGCCCGCUGGGGAACCACUUCCCAGGGGGAACCACCUCCUUGGGGGCCAGGAAACAGGCCCACUGGGGUACCACUUCCUCCAGGGGGAACCACAUCCUUGGGGGCCAGGAAACAGGCCCGCUGGGGAACCACUUCCUCAGGGAUGGGGACCAGCUAGAAGGGGUGCUAGAGGAAAGAAUAGUGUUAAGGAAAAAAGAGACACUGCUCACUAUCAAAGCCAUCAAUACAGACGGGGAGGAGAAGAAAAGCUCCCCAGCCUAUCUCAUUGUACAGACACAUUUUUAAAGGGACUAGAAAAAAGUCCAAAGCUGAGGAAGAAGUGUUUCAGACAUUGAAAAAGCUUCCAGAAGGCACAAGAGAUGAUGUACAAGUUGCUGCAGCUCACCCCCUGGGCAUCUCCUACCCCCAAGAACGGUGACCCCACCACCCUGGAGCAGGGUUCUACUCCCUCAGCAUAGCAACAGGGGGUCCACAGAAGGGGUCCUUCCAUCACAACCUCAGCUCCGGGCUGCACAAAGGAUCUGGGGCCCUGUACCAUCAAACUUCUGCUGCUUUGGCAUCUCAGGCCCUCUUCCUGCCCGUGGGUCUCCUCCCCCAGAACCCAAGGCUGGACGUGGAGCAGAGGGAGACACCGAGGAGUCAUUAGGAUUGUAGGAGCCAUGGGGGCAUCCCUAGAUGUUCCAUUUCUUUCCAGAUGGAUGCACUCCAGACCUACUAAAUCGGCUUCUAUGUCCUUCAAAGAAUGGGUUCAAAGUAAAAGAGAAGCGUGGAAAGGGGGCUGAACCCUGUCUCCUGGAGCAAACCACAUCAUUUCUCCAGGAUAUCGGCUCCAGGAAGACUUUUGUCUGCCUGACUCACUAAAACUUGUUGGAGAAGUUCAGUGGGGCGACUCAGGAGAUCACCUUUUCCUUGGAGACGCUCCAGGGACGGCUUCUCUAUCCUAGAAGCCCACAGAGUCUCACUUUUCUAUCUUAUUUGCCACUGCAGGUUGCCCAGAGGUUAGGCCCAGGUACCCUGGUUGACUCCUUCUAAAAGACACUGAGCAAGUCAUGUUCUGGAACAUAAAACCUCAGCCAUAAAGAAGAUCUAAGAACAGAAGCUACCCUGAAAUGUGGUUAAGGCUGAAGCUGAAUGUUUCUGCCAGAAUUCGUGGAGACUCUCAGGUACUCAUCUUUAAAAUGCAGUCGGAAGCCAGAGAUUCCAGAGGACAGGAUGCUCACGCUCCAUCCCUUACCUGCUCCCAGAUGUACCAGCCUUUGUGCCAAUUCAUUCUCCCUCUAGUAAAGCAGCCCCCGUGCAUCUGGCUAACUCCUCCCUGUCCUUCCUUCCAGAAGUUGUUCCUAAUGAUCCCACUGCCCCACCCCCAGGGAACUGCUGCCUGGUAUUGGAUAGCAACCUGUGCCUCCCCACUGCUUAAUCACAGCUUAUGAUACUUACCUGUCUAACUCUAGACUGGACUGUGAGAGCCCCACGAAAGCAAGGGAUUGCCAUUCUUCUGCUCACUACUCUCCGCAUCACCAAGCACAGUGCCUGAUGUAGAACGAGGAUCAGUAAAUCUUAGUUCACUGGGAUGUCCUCCACACUCCCCAUAGGGAGCCCAAGACCCCCAUCAGCCUCCACAAAUACUGACAACCAACAGACGUUCAUUGAACACCAGUCCUGCCUCACCCGCUCAGAGGGAUUCUUAACUCUCCUGCAUGGCUGAAGUUGUGGAGACCUUGAUUAAGACUAGAGAAACGGGUGGUUUAUACAUUUCUUCUGCCUGAAGUUUCUUCCAAUGACUCUCCAUCAUCUUUCCAAUUUUCCUGGAUAUUUUAUUAGCAGUAAAGUUCAUCUUUCUCAACCUUU
Macaca mulatta (Rhesus monkey) is the source of this 2094-nucleotide non-coding RNA. NCBI's taxonomy places the organism in Eukaryota, Metazoa, Chordata, Mammalia, Primates, Cercopithecidae. The record is from RefSeq and is a predicted model, not a curated record.